GUGUCAGCAGCCGCGGUAAUACGAAGGACCCGAGCGUUAUCCGGAUUUAUUGGGUUUAAAGGGUGCGUAGGCGGACAUGCAAGUCAGUGGUGAAAUCUCUCUGCUCAACAGAGAAACUGCCAUUGAAACUAUGUGUCUUGAGUACAUUUGAGGCGGGCGGAAUGUGUCAUGUAGAGGUGAAAUUCUUAGAUAUGACACAGAACACCAAUUGCGAAGGCAGCUCGCUAAACUGUAACUGACGCUGAGGCACGAAAGCGUGGGGAUCAAACAGGAUUAGAUACCCUUGUAGUCC
Molecule: ribosomal RNA, 292 nt
Filed under: uncultured bacterium
Lineage: Bacteria
Description: partial 16S ribosomal RNA
Rfam family: Bacterial small subunit ribosomal RNA
Source: RNAcentral